AUUGAACGCUGGCGGCAUGCCUUACACAUGCAAGUCGAACGGUAACGGGCCUUCGGGUGCCGACGAGUGGCGAACGGGUGAGUAAUACAUCGGAACGUGCCCGAUCGUGGGGGAUAACGAGGCGAAAGCUUUGCUAAUACCGCAUACGAUCUACGGAUGAAAGCAGGGGACCGCAAGGCCUUGCGCGGACGGAGCUGCCGCUGGCAGAUUAGGGAGUUGGUGGGAUAAAAGCUUACCAAGACGACGAUCUGUAGCUGGUCUGAGAGGAUGAUCAGCCACACUGGGACUGAGACACGGCCCAGACUCCGACGGGAGGCAGCAGUGGGGAAUUUUGGACAAUGGGCGCAAGCCUGAUCCAGCCAUGCCGCGUGCAGGAUGAAGGCCUUCGGGUUGUAAACUGCUUUUGUACGGAACGAAAAGCCUUCGUUUAAUACAGGAGGGUCAUGACGGUACCGUAAGAAUAAGCACCGGCUAACUACGUG
Molecule: ribosomal RNA, 482 nt
Filed under: uncultured bacterium
Lineage: Bacteria
Description: partial 16S ribosomal RNA
Rfam family: Bacterial small subunit ribosomal RNA
Source: RNAcentral